This 278-nucleotide long non-coding RNA is filed under the name Lathyrus oleraceus (garden pea). RNAcentral's name for it is "Pisum sativum (pea) long non-coding RNA (PSAT_LNC034805)". Lineage: Eukaryota; Viridiplantae; Streptophyta; Magnoliopsida; Fabales; Fabaceae. The record is from RNAcentral.
UUGUUGACGUUGUUGUUGAACUGGUGUUGAUUGAUUAUUUGAAAAAACGGGGAUAACUAAUGAAACUCGAUGAUGAUGAUGUUGACGUGGUUGUGGACUUCUUCUGAUAUGAGGCCUCCUCUGCCUCCCCACAGAUACUACAUUAAUCUCGCCUUUUUUAUUUAUGGCAAACCCACUACCGUACUUCUUGCUAGACGAAACCUCUUCUUUAGACAACCGUCCCUCUCGGAAACCUUCUUCUAAUCUCAUCCCCAUGUUUACCAUUUCGGUAAAAUCAC